GACGAACGCUGGCCGCGUGCUUAACACAUGCAAGUCGAACGGAAAGGCCCUGCUUUUGUGGGGUGCUCGAGUGGCGAACGGGUGAGUAACACGUGAGUAACCUGCCCUUGACUUUGGGAUAACUUCAGGAAACUGGGGCUAAUACCGGAUAGGAGCUCCUGCUGCAUGGUGGGGGUUGGAAAGUUUCGGCGGUUGGGGAUGGACUCGCGGCUUAUCAGCUUGUUGGUGGGGUAGUGGCUUACCAAGGCUUUGACGGGUAGCCGGCCUGAGGGGGUGACCGGCCACAUUGGGACUGAGAUACGGCCCAGACUCCUACGGGAGGCAGCAGUGGGGAAUAUUGCACAAUGGGCGGCAGCCUGAUGCAGCAACGCCGCGUGCGGGAUGACGGCCUUCGGGUUGUAAACCGCUUUCGCCUGUGACGAAGCGUGAGUGACGGUAAUGGGUAGAGAAGCACCGGCUAACUACGUG
RNAcentral lists this ribosomal RNA (468 nucleotides) under uncultured bacterium. Its description in RNAcentral is "partial 16S ribosomal RNA". It matches the Rfam family "Bacterial small subunit ribosomal RNA", at positions 28 to 507 of the family's 1533-position model. The record is from RNAcentral.